GCGGGUUUAGCUUAGUGGUAGAGCGUGUUCUUAACAUACACAGGGUCCUGGGUUCAAUCCCCAGUACUGCCA
This 72-nucleotide transfer RNA is filed under the name Camelus bactrianus (Bactrian camel). It matches the Rfam family "tRNA". Rfam says of the family: Transfer RNA (tRNA) molecules are approximately 80 nucleotides in length. Lineage: Eukaryota; Metazoa; Chordata; Mammalia; Artiodactyla; Camelidae. The record is from Rfam by way of RNAcentral. RNAcentral also lists the same sequence under 1 other name.